This 100-nucleotide small nuclear RNA is filed under the name Balaenoptera musculus (blue whale). The record is from RNAcentral. Lineage: Eukaryota; Metazoa; Chordata; Mammalia; Artiodactyla; Balaenopteridae.
GCUGACUUCAGCUGUACAUAUAAUUGGCAUAAUACAGAGAAGAUUAGUAUGGCUCCUGCCCAAGGAUAAUAUGCAAAUUCGUGAAGCAUUUUAUAUUUUU